GGUUGCUGAGUAAUGGAGGCUGAUGGGUAAUGGAGUCUGGUAGGUCAUGGAGGCUGGUAGGUUAUGGAGGCUGGUGGGUAAUGGAGGCUGGUGGGUAACAAAGGCUGGUAUGUAAUGGACGCUGAUGGACUGAGGAUCUGUGGGAGGCUGAGUGGGGUGAGGCUGAAGCCACCAAGCAGCUGCUUUGGACUGAGUGCAGCAACAGUGCAGAAGUGACUGCGCUUGGACCGGCCACUGGGCAGGUGACGCUGGGACUGGAUCAAAGGCUAUUUCUUCCAAGGAAAUGUAUUGCUGAACACACCGAAACCAAAGCACAGAACAUCUCAGGGUAACAUUCUGGACUUAGGAA
This 349-nucleotide long non-coding RNA is filed under the name Homo sapiens (human). Its description in RNAcentral is "HSALNT0039586". Lineage: Eukaryota; Metazoa; Chordata; Mammalia; Primates; Hominidae. The record is from RNAcentral.